Molecule: ribosomal RNA, 490 nt
Filed under: uncultured organism
Description: bacterial SSU rRNA
Rfam family: Bacterial small subunit ribosomal RNA
Source: RNAcentral
AGUGAACGCUGGCGGCGUGGCUUAGGCAUGCAAGUCGAGCGUGAAACCCCGCAAGGGGGAGUAAAGCGGCGAAAGGGUGAGUAAAGCAUAGGCAACGUACCCUCGGGACCGGGAUAACUACUGGAAACGGUAGCUAAUACUGGAUGGCCUGGGCGGGUGGCAUCACCUGCCCAGUAAACGGUUGGGAAACCUUCUGCCAGAGGAGCGGCCUAUGUCCCAUCAGCUAGUUGGUGAGGUAACGGCUCACCAAGGCGAUGACGGGUAGCCGGACUGAGAGGUUGGCCGGUCACACUGGGACUGAGACACUGCCCAGACUCCUACGGGAGGCUGCAGUCGAGAAUCUUCCGCAAUGGGCGCAAGCCUGACGGGGCGACGCCGCGUGCAGGAUGAAGGCCUUCGGGUUGUAAACUGCUGUUGCGCGCUAGGAAACCUCAGGGGUUAACAGCCUCUGAGCUGACCAUCGCGUGAGGAAGCACAGGCUAACUCCGUG